CGCCCGCCAGCCCUGGUGGACAGUCCCAGGGACAGCCUCGCCCAGGGCGCAGGAAGGCGGCGGACACGGGAGACGCUAGAACCGGGGCUGGUGUGUGUGUUGUGUGUGGGCGCCCACCAGGCCCUGGCACCCCCCACUUCCUGGCAGGAGCUUUGGAGAACCUGGAAGACAGCUCCUGACAGAGACAUCAAAAGGGAAGGGGAGACAUCAAGAGACAGAGACCUGCAAAGUAGUUUCAUCACUUAUGAAGCUUCCAACACCACCACCCCCAGAGGUGGGGAGCCGGGCUUUGAACCCAUAUCCUUGUUGCAAUGUGUGCGCUCAACCAGCCCCCCUUAAACAGCCACUCUUUCCCUCAUUUUAGAGUCCUUUUCAGACCAUGGAAUUGAGAGACUGCUGACCCACAGCAAGACAAGACACUCUUUGGGGGGCUGCCCUGUGGAUGGCUCCAGAAGCUCUCAGAGUAGCGCCUCUCCUGUGUAACCUUGUCUUUGGGGACUUCCUUAUGGGGAGGGAGUGUCAGAGUACGAAGCUAAAGUGGAUUUAUCACGAGCUCUCUGCUUUCCCAGGGGUCGGGAGAGCACCUUUCCACCUGGCUCUGGGUUCUGGGGUGGGUUUGCUCCGUUUUG
Molecule: long non-coding RNA, 629 nt
Organism: Erinaceus europaeus (western European hedgehog)
Lineage: Eukaryota; Metazoa; Chordata; Mammalia; Eulipotyphla; Erinaceidae
Exons: 3
Source: RefSeq, a predicted model, not a curated record